RNA transcript from Cicer arietinum (chickpea), 1140 nucleotides. RefSeq lists it as uncharacterized. Lineage: Eukaryota; Viridiplantae; Streptophyta; Magnoliopsida; Fabales; Fabaceae. The record is from RefSeq and is a predicted model, not a curated record.
GAGAAGAAAAGGUAGUAGUGAUAGAGCGAGAAAGAAACAGAGAGAAGCAAAACAAGUAUAUAAGUGCAUUGUUCUGUUUCUCACUUUCUCUCCCUUAUGGCUGGGCCAUCGUGGUUGGUGGACAAAAGUAGAAUUGCAACCAAAGUAAAGUGUGCAUCUGGAGCAAUUGGUAAAAUUACAUGGAAAAGCAAUCCUACCAAAGCUUGCCCAAAUUGUCAACAUGUUAUUGACAACACUGAUCGGCAGCAAGUCAUAGACGACCAAGGUGUUCUUCAAACUGAAGCAACUAAUAAUGAAAAGCAAUGUUCAUAUACAGACCAAGCACAAGGAUCUCAUCAUAUUCCUCCUCUGGAUCUAUCAAAGGUUCCUUGGUUAGAUGGUCUACUUGAUAGUCAGGAUGACUAUGACCUGAUUGCAAAAAUUGAUCAAUUGUUGGUAGAAACUCAAAACAUCAAAGGGAUAGAUGACAUUGAAAAUAAUGACAUCGAAGACUCGAAAAUAUGGUGGGACAGUGAUUCGCAAAAUAUAUUGAAUCCACAACAACUCUUGAAAGGAUUUCCCUUGUUGGAUGAUUUCUUUCAAAGUCAGACUCUGAAAAGGGACGGAGAACACAACGAACAACCGAAUCUAUUUGUCUCACAUCAUCUCUUUCCUAUGUUCUCAAUAAUCUUUCCAUUACAUUAAUUUCAUUCUAAUUGUCACACACCAAAUUUUCUCUAUUUGUGAUGCAUUUCUGUUUUUCUUUUUAAUAGGAAUUCAGCUCACAGGAUAGCUAUAUUGCUUGGGGUGGUACCAAGACAAUCAACUAAUACUUUCUUCACCUUUUGCAACUUUAUUUUUUGAUAAAUUGCAAAUUUUGAAAUCAGGGAAAAUGGCCCAGAUCUUUUAUUGUGUUCAAAAGUAUCUGCCUUAUGGGACAAACACUGAUGCUGGCUUUGCUGUUCUUCGUAGACAAAUGAGGGACCUUAACAACCUAAGUAAUCUGGCUCUGGCUCUGACACUGAUCAGCUCAACAACUCAACUUUGUUUCUACACAUUUGGUAAUUACCUUGUGGAAGAAUUAAGUCAAUGCAAUCAUAGGACUUCAAUUGAAGUUUCUGGUGUAUUUUUCUUCUCUUAAUUUCUUGGUUCGAAAUAAAA